CCCCGAAGUUGUCUGCCACCAAAAUGAAAAGAAGCCGUGGGGUCCAAGCUUCUCUUUCCACCUGGUGUCCAUGUGAGCGAGGUCUCCCAGACGUAAAGGAAGAUGGGGACACCGUUCCUGGUGAGCUGUCACGAGAGGAAGCCCGUCCAUCUCGUUCACAGAGGCAUUUCCAACACAACGUCCCCUAAUGUACAACGUCAUGGUUCGAUACGCGUAUAUGUUGCGAAAUUGUCACCACAGUCCGUCUGGUUCACGUCAUCACCUCAAUUCUACUCCUAGGAACCCACUUCCUGGGACCUUUAUUACCCGCCACCUGGGCUGUGCCUGAUGACCCCGGAAGCCGAGGAAAGAAUGCACAAAGGAAAAUGCACAACGUGACCACGUUCCAGAGGAACAUUUCUG
RNAcentral lists this long non-coding RNA (402 nucleotides) under Equus asinus (donkey). Its description in RNAcentral is "lncRNA (ENSEASG00005038730.1)". The record is from RNAcentral. Lineage: Eukaryota; Metazoa; Chordata; Mammalia; Perissodactyla; Equidae.